AUAAUCUAGAUGUCAGAUGACACAUGAGAAUAUUGCUAAAAUAAUGAACAACUCCCAUGCUUUAGGUUCCCAGCAUCUUUGACCUUCUUACAUUUAAACGGCUUUCUAAAUCCAUCUGAAAAUAUUCAGGACAGCACUUAGGCCUCCUGAUUUAUGCUAAUAAUUUGAUCGCCUCUCCCUUCCCUUAGCAGAGCUAACCACAUUUGAAUACACUGAAUGGUUUAACUACCUCCACAGAUUUCCGAUCAAAGCAAGUGUGAAAUAAUUUUCCCCCACUUUGUACAGCAAAAUCCUUUAUGCAAGUGAGUCAACAAUACGGAGAGGAGAUAAUGCAAUUCAAAAGGCGUGAAGACAGAGCUUAUGGAAGACGUAUUUGCUAAUAUUAUCACGCCAAAUUGUUUCUUUUGUUUUCUUAAGUCUCAGCUGGGAGGCGGCGGCCACUGAAAGGAGGUUCUGCCCGUGUAGCCUGGUCUUUAGCAUACUUUAGGGAAUGAAAUUACUUUCUAAUCACGAAAUCCACCAGACUGUGGAACAGCCUGAUACAAGAAGUCACGUUGUGCCAGGAAAGCUCUGGGUCAUUCUGAAGUGAACUCACAGGGCCCUGCAGUAACCUGCCUGAGGCCAUUGCUGAAAUGAAAGCCAGUGAGACAACCCCAGAGCCCUGCCUCCUGCUUCAGCAUCCAAUUCUCAUUACAUUGGCCUCCUAGGGGUGAGGAGCCUGCCAGAUGAUGAGUGAGUAGGAAGAAUCUGGAGUUUGUAGUCAAAUUGAAAAGCCAGCUUCUUCCCCGUGGAAUCUCCCAAGCUGUGACCCUUUGAGGAGAAAAGGUGCUGCUCGGGAAUAAUUAUAAACCCAGCUGUCAGCCUUUACCCUGAUGGCAAAGAGCUGGAGAACUGAUGACCACGUGGGUAGCAACCUGAGUUGUCUGUCACGUGCCCUCCCCGCUGCUCAUGGAGGAUCUUUAGUCUCAGCGUGUGAACUCUUAAGUCGUGGCAUGUUGGAUUCAGUUUUUUGACCAAGGAUGGAACCCAGCCCCCAGGCAUUUGGAGGGUGGAGUCUUAGCCACUGGACCACCAGGGAAGUCCCCCAAGACGGCAUCCUUCCAACCAGCUCCCCCUCACCCACUCUUGCAAAACCACCUAGAGUUGAAUGAAAUAAGCCAUGGGGAAGAGCUGAGAUCCCGAUUGCAAGCUCAUCCUUCAGUGCUGUCUCACUAGAGCUGUGUUGCUGCAAAUUUUCCUUUCACACCGGUCUGGCUCCGGCACAUGUUGGACUCAGAUGGGAGGCCGGCUUCCCCGGUUGAGAAGCACAGCUUCCUGGUCCUGUGCCGUCUUCAGGAGAGCUCACACCGUCUCCCAGUGACUGGAGAGAAACUGAGCAAGGCUUUCACUGACAGGUGGCAAGGCAAACACAGCACCGAGACCGCCUGCAAAGCCCCCAGGAAGCGAGGUGGCUUUCAGCCUCACCUUGCCUAUCUGUCACGUGAGUCACGGACCACAGCCAGCGCUAAUAAAUCAACACCAUUCUUUAAAGCACCCUGGUCAGCUGCAUGUAUUUCUGUGGAUGCUUUUGAGCUGUGGUGUUGGAGAAGACUCUUGAGAGUCCCUUGGACUGCAAGGAGAUCCAGCCAGUCCAUCCUACAGGAGACCAGUCCUGGGUGUUCAUUGGAAGGACUGAUGUUGAAGGUCUCCGUUGCAGCCUGUGAACUCUCAGCUGUAGCAUGUGGGUUCUACUUCCCUGGCCAGGGAUCAAACCUGGGCCCCUGCAUUGGGAGCUCGGAGUCUCAGCCACUGGAAGUCCCAAAAAGACAGCCCGUGGUGGUCCACUGCAGAGCUGGUUUGUCCUCUGUACCCACAACUACGCAGCUCCUACAGUCUACACAGCAAGCUGAAGCCCAGUGCACGGCAUGGAGCCACUCAAGCUCUGCAGACACCUCACCCCUGCCAGCUGGGGCCC
Bubalus bubalis (water buffalo) is the source of this 1954-nucleotide long non-coding RNA. RefSeq lists it as uncharacterized. Lineage: Eukaryota; Metazoa; Chordata; Mammalia; Artiodactyla; Bovidae. The transcript is spliced from 4 exons. The record is from RefSeq and is a predicted model, not a curated record.